Molecule: non-coding RNA, 325 nt
Organism: Odocoileus virginianus texanus
Lineage: Eukaryota; Metazoa; Chordata; Mammalia; Artiodactyla; Cervidae
Source: RefSeq, a predicted model, not a curated record
CACGGGGUCACAAAAAGUUGGAGAUUACUGAGCAACUGAACAGCAACAUGUCUCUCCCUAGGGAGGCUCUCUGACCUAGCCUUGACCAAGUCUAGGUCCACCCCCGUCACUACCAAAUGACCUCUUCUGCACUCUUCAGUCAUUGGACAGCCUUUUGAACAAAGAAGGUGGUCUGGGCCCACCCAGGAGGAGCUCGCUGGCCCCCAGAGGAAUAGGCAUCUAUUGGGAAAAGACUGACUCUUUGUCAAGCUCCGGUUUGCACAGGAUGACUGCCUGCCUGGUUGUGCAGCCACAUCACUUUCCCUUCAAGAACUUAAGUCUGAGA